Molecule: ribosomal RNA, 499 nt
Filed under: uncultured bacterium
Lineage: Bacteria
Description: partial 16S ribosomal RNA
Rfam family: Bacterial small subunit ribosomal RNA
Source: RNAcentral
GAUGAACGCUGGCGGCGUGCCUAAUACAUGCAAGUCGAGCGAACAGACGAGAGUGCUUGCCCUCUCUGACGUUAGCGGCGGACGGGUGAGUAACACGUGGGCAACCUACCUAUAAGACUGGGAUAACUUCGGGAAACCGGAGCUAAUACCGGAUAAUAUUUAGCUUCGCAUGAAGCAAUAGUGAAAGACGGUUCUGCUGUCACUUAUAGAUGGACCCGCGGUGUAUUAGCUAGUUGGUGAGGUAACGGCUCACCAAGGCAACGAUACAUAGCCGACCUGAGAGGGUGAUCGGCCACACUGGGACUGAGACACGGCCCAGACUCCUACGGGAGGCAGCAGUAGGGAAUCUUCCGCAAUGGACGAAAGUCUGACGGAGCAAUGCCGCGUGAGUGAAGAAGGUUUUCGGAUCGUAAAACUCUGUUGUAAGGGAAGAACAAGUACGUUAGUAACUGAACGUACCUUGACGGUACCUUACCAGAAAGCCACGGCUAACUACGUG